This 512-nucleotide ribosomal RNA is filed under the name uncultured bacterium. RNAcentral describes it as "partial 16S ribosomal RNA". It matches the Rfam family "Bacterial small subunit ribosomal RNA", at positions 28 to 507 of the family's 1533-position model. The record is from RNAcentral.
GAUGAACGCUGGCGGCGUGCCUAAUACAUGCAAGUCGAACGAAACUUCUUUAUCACCGAGUGCUUGCACUCACCGAUAAAGAGUUGAGUGGCGAACGGGUGAGUAACACGUGGGCAACCUGCCCAAAAGAGGGGGAUAACACUUGGAAACAGGUGCUAAUACCGCAUAACCAUAGUUACCGCAUGGUAACUAUGUAAAGGGUGGCUAUACUACCGCUUUUGGAUGGGCCCGCGGCGCAUUAGCUAGUUGGUAGGGUAAAGGCUUACCAAGGCAAUGAUGCGUAGCCGAAUUGAGAGGUUGAUCGGCCACAUUGGGACUGAGACACGGCCCAAACUCCUACGGGAGGCAGCAGUAGGGAAUCUUCCACAAUGGGCGAAAGCCUGAUGGAGCAACGCCGCGUGGGUGAAGAUGGUCUUCGGAUCGUAAAACCCUGUUGUUAGAGAAGAAAGUGCGUGAGAGUAACUGUUCACGUUUCGACGGUAUCUAACCAGAAAGCCACGGCUAACUACGUG